Nerophis ophidion (straightnose pipefish) is the source of this 477-nucleotide long non-coding RNA. RefSeq lists it as uncharacterized. The record is from RefSeq and is a predicted model, not a curated record. Lineage: Eukaryota; Metazoa; Chordata; Actinopteri; Syngnathiformes; Syngnathidae. The transcript has 4 exons.
UCUAUGACGUCACGCAACAUGACGAUUUGGGCCUAAUCGUCCAACUUCUUCUCUCUAAAAAACAAUGUUUGUUUCCGAAAUGAAGCAACAAGAAUUAAGACAAAAACGAAGAUUGUGACAAAAAAACAACAAAGAAACAGUAAAGUGUUCUUCUAAAAAGAACAAGAUUUCUGUAUUCAAAAAAAGUCAAGAAGAAGCCACCGUGACGACAGCCAGCGCAGGUAGAGCUGAUUGCAAAGACUGCACAUGCAUAGCUGCCAACUCGUCUGGAUAUGAAUCGCCAGCAAGUACAUCGGCGCUGACAAAGACAAGCAAAUCCAGGGCUUCUUCAGCUCGCUGAACGCCGCGACGAGCGUCCAGAGGAAGUCGUCUUCCCCUGCUUCCGCUGGUCCAUCUACGUUGGGCGUCAUUUGUGGACGACUCCAACCGUCACCGGUGUGGGUUGUAUGGACCAUUUAGGAAGGACAUCACGUCGAG